GUACUUUUAUGCAGCGGGUUCUUUACACUGUGCACCAUCAGUAUGAGAGCAGGAGACCAGCAUAUGACAAGCACUGCUAGCACCAAAACCAAAGUUUUGGCAAGACUGAUGUCGAUCCUUAAUCUAAUAUUUCCACGAUCUGUUGACUUGUUAUAGGUCUCCAUACACAGUGAAUGUUGGUGAACCUUCCACAAGAUAAGUGCAUAGGAAA
This is a non-coding RNA of Pelobates cultripes (western spadefoot toad), 211 nucleotides long. Lineage: Eukaryota; Metazoa; Chordata; Amphibia; Anura; Pelobatidae. The record is from the annotation of a GenBank genome assembly.